GUGAAGGUUCCGAUGGAUAAAGGGAAGCGAGUUCUUUUCCUGACCAAUGACUACUUCUUCACGGACAUCAGCGACACCCCUUUCAGUUUGGGGGUGGUGCUGUCCCGGGGCCACGGAGAAUACAUCCUUCUGGGGAACACGUCUGUGGAAGAAGGCCUGCAUGACUUGCUUCACCCAGACCUGGCCCUGGCCGGUGACUGGAUCUACUGCAUCACAGAUAUUGACCCAGACCACCGGAAGCUCAGCCAGCUAGAGGCCAUGAUCCGCUUCCUCACCAGGAAGGACCCAGACCUGGAGUGGAGUCUGAACACGUGGUGGACAUGGCCUUCCUGGGCACCCGGGCUGGCCUCCUGAGAAGCAGCUUGUUCGUGGGCUCCGAGAAGGUCUCCGACAGGAAGUUCCUGACACCUGAGGACGAGGCCAGCGUGUUCACCCUGGACCGCUUCCCGCUGUGGUACCGCCAGGCCUCAGAGCAUCCUGCUGGCAGCUUCGUCUUCAA
RNAcentral lists this unclassified non-coding RNA (499 nucleotides) under Homo sapiens (human). RNAcentral describes it as "calcium voltage-gated channel auxiliary subunit alpha2delta 4 (ENSG00000284953.2)". Lineage: Eukaryota; Metazoa; Chordata; Mammalia; Primates; Hominidae. The record is from RNAcentral.